GUGUCAGCAGCCGCGGUAAUACGAAGGGGGCGAGCGUUGUUCGGAUUUACUGGGCGUAAAGGGCGCGCAGGCGGCGAUCUUUGUCAGGCGUGAAAGCCCCGGGCUUAACCUGGGAAUGGCGCUUGGGACGGGGUUGCUAGAGUUCGGGAGAGGAGCGUGGAAUUCCCAGUGUAGAGGUGAAAUUCGUAGAUAUUGGGAAGAACACCGGUGGCGAAGGCGGCGCUCUGGACCGAGACUGACGCUGAGGCGCGAAAGCGUGGGGAGCAAACAGGAUUAGAUACCCUGGUAGUCCACGCUGUAAACGAUGUGUGCUAGACGUUGGGGAGCCUAGCUCUUCGGUGUCGCAGCUAACGCGGUAAGCACACCGCCUGGGGAGUACGGCCGCAAGGUUAAA
RNAcentral lists this ribosomal RNA (394 nucleotides) under uncultured bacterium. RNAcentral describes it as "bacterial SSU rRNA". It matches the Rfam family "Bacterial small subunit ribosomal RNA", at positions 505 to 898 of the family's 1533-position model. The record is from RNAcentral.